UACAGAGGUGGCAAGCGUUGUUCGGAUUUAUUGGGCGUAAAGGGUCCGUAGGCGGUUUGGCAAGUCAGAUGUGAAAGCCCACAGCUCAACUGUGGAACUGCAUUUGAAACUUCCAGACUAGAGUAUGAGAGGGGUUAAGGGAAUUCCCGGUGUAAGGGUGAAAUCUGCAGAGAUCGGGAGGAACACCAGUCGCGAAGGCGGCCUGCUGGGCCACGACCGACACUGAGGUGCGAAAGCGUGGGGAGCGAACCGG
RNAcentral lists this ribosomal RNA (253 nucleotides) under uncultured bacterium. RNAcentral describes it as "partial 16S ribosomal RNA". It matches the Rfam family "Bacterial small subunit ribosomal RNA", at positions 524 to 776 of the family's 1533-position model. The record is from RNAcentral.